GACGAACGCUGGCGGCGUGCCUAAUACAUGCAAGUCGAACGAGAGCGCCUGCUGCUUGCUCUGGUUAACGUAGUGGCGAACGGGUGAGUGACGCGUGGGUCACCUGUCCUUUAGCGGGGGCUAACGUUUGGACACGGAAGAUAAAACCGAAUAGGCCUUAGAACCGCAUGGUUUUAAGUGGAAAGGAGGACCAUGCUCUUGUUGAUGGAUGGACGCGCGGUGCAUGAGCUAGUUGGUGGGGUAACGGCUCCCACAGGCCGGGAUGCAUAGACGACGUGGGAGGGGGAUCGGCCACAUUGGGACUGGGACACGGCCCAAACUCCGACGGGAGGCAGCAGUAGGGAUUCUUCCGAAAUGGACGUAAGCCUGACGAAGCAACGCCGCGUGAGUGAAGAAGGUUUUCGGAUCGUAAAUCUCUGUUGUUAGAGAAGAAGAGGUGGUAAAGUAACUGUUAGCGCCGUGACGGUAGCUAAACAGAAAGCCACGGCUAACUACGUG
Molecule: ribosomal RNA, 498 nt
Filed under: uncultured bacterium
Lineage: Bacteria
Description: partial 16S ribosomal RNA
Rfam family: Bacterial small subunit ribosomal RNA
Source: RNAcentral